This 253-nucleotide ribosomal RNA is filed under the name uncultured bacterium. RNAcentral's name for it is "partial 16S ribosomal RNA". It matches the Rfam family "Bacterial small subunit ribosomal RNA", at positions 524 to 776 of the family's 1533-position model. The record is from RNAcentral.
UACGUAGGGGGCUAGCGUUGUCCGGAAUCAUUGGGCGUAAAGCGCGCGUAGGCGGCCCGGUAAGUCCGUUGUGAAAGUCAAAGGCUCAACCUUUGAAAGCCGAUGGAUACUGUCGAGCUCGAGUCCGGAAGAGGCGAGUGGAAUUCCUGGUGUAGCGGUGAAAUGCGCAGAUAUCGGAAGGAACAUCAGUGGCGAAAGCGGCUUCCUGGACCAGUACCGACGUUCAGGCACGAAAGCGUGGGGAGCAAACAGG